AACGAACGCUGGCGGCAGGCCUAACACAUGCAAGUCGAGCGAGCAUUUCGGUGCUAGCGGCGGACGGGUGAGUAACGCGUGGGAACGUGCCCUUUUCUGCGGAAUAGUCCUGGGAAACUGGUGGUAAUACCGCAUACGCCCUUUUGGGGAAAGAUUUAUCGGAGAAGGAUCGGCCCGCGUUGGAUUAGGUAGUUGGUUGGGUAAUGGCCCACCAAGCCGACGAUCCAUAGCUGGUUUGAGAGGAUGAUCAGCCACACUGGGACUGAGACACGGCCCAGACUCCUACGGGAGGCAGCAGUGGGGAAUCUUAGACAAUGGGGGCAAUCCUGAUCGAGCCAUGCCGCGUGAGUGAUGAAGGCCUUAGGGUUGUAAAGCUCUUUCAGCUGGGAAGAUAAUGACGGUACCAGCAGAAGAAGCCCCGGCUAACUCCGUG
RNAcentral lists this ribosomal RNA (433 nucleotides) under uncultured bacterium. RNAcentral describes it as "partial 16S ribosomal RNA". It matches the Rfam family "Bacterial small subunit ribosomal RNA", at positions 29 to 507 of the family's 1533-position model. The record is from RNAcentral.